Aethalodelphis obliquidens (Pacific white-sided dolphin) is the source of this 2399-nucleotide long non-coding RNA. RefSeq lists it as uncharacterized. NCBI's taxonomy places the organism in Eukaryota, Metazoa, Chordata, Mammalia, Artiodactyla, Delphinidae. The transcript is spliced from 3 exons. The record is from RefSeq and is a predicted model, not a curated record.
CUCCCGGACCGGGGCACGAACCCGUGUCCCCUGCAUCGGCAGGCGGACCCUCAACCACUGCGCCACCAGGGAAGCCCAGGAUCAUCACACUUUGACACUUGUGAUUCUUUAACAUGUGUCCCCACCGGACUUAAGGCUCCUUAGUGACAGGUCGUUUGGGUCAUCAUUGUAUCUCUGGCUUCCAGUGUCCUGUAUGUUUUAUUGAGUGAACCGUGUAACCUGAUUUAUUAUUACUCUGGGUCAGCUUGUAGAACUGCAGGGGAAAGGGUGGGGCUAAAGACCUAUCAUGAGACGGACGAGAGGAAGUGGGGAAGGGCUAUACAACUUUGGAUUAGAACCCUCCUCAAUUCUUAGGAACUCAUCUGAGGCAGGGUAGGGUGGGAGAUAUUUCUAGCUCGGGGUUGUUCAUUUGAUGCAGUAUAUAUAUUUUUAAUCCUGUGUCACCUCUGUCCUCAUUUAUCUGCACCUUAGAGAUGUACUCCAUUACUCCUAAGACUGUGGUAGACACUGAUAGUCAUAUCCCGUUUCUGGAAGAAGUUUUAGUUGGGCAUGUGGCCACCCACAAGACAUUUCCCAGCCUUCUUUGAAGAUGAGUGGGGACACGUGAGCAAGCUGUGGUCCCUCUCACCCUAAGCAGAAAUAAUGCAUCCAGCUUCCAGGUCGUGACCUUAAAAGGAGAGGGUGUGCCUUCCGCCCCCUCUCUUCCCCGUUCCCACUGGCUGCCAUGUGAAACUGCUUGGGAGCCACGCUUGUCCACAUGGGGUUGCUGAUGGGAGAGAGACGCAUUUCUAGUUGUGACUAGUCACACCGGCUGAAUCGGGGUCUGAAUUCCGGCACCCAGUCCCGAGCAGGCAGAAAUGAUGAGAAGCACCAUGCCUGGGGCGGUGCUCUUGUGGUAAAGAUGUGAUCGAUCACCUCAUCUGGAGGAUAAAUGACAGCACUCUGGCUAUCACAGUGAUUCUUAUUUGCAACUCUACCAGGGAAAGAGUCUCUCCAACAAAAGUCUGGGAAACGAGUCUCACUGGUUUUGAGUGAGAAAUAACCCCAUCGUCCAAUCAAUGCCGCUGGCCACGAUACUGGGCUCUGGUUGGCCUAGCCUGGGUCACAUGCUAAUGUGGGUGGAGUCCGUUCCUGUUAAGCGACAGAUUGUGAGUGGGAAAGAGGUGGUCCUAAGGAAAUUAGGGCACUCUUAUUAGAAGAAGGACUACACGCCAAGCAGGCACAACAGAUGUCUUUUAUAGCAUGAGUACCUGUACCUAGUAAACAGUAAUAAAUGUGAACUGUCAUGCCUCCUCCUCUCCUCGUCUUCUGGGUCAUGGUCAUUCUGCACCAGGAUGCCAGUAUAUAACCAUCCUUAUUUAUCUUCCUUUAACACUCACUCCCUUUACACUCCCCCCUUCUAAGAAGUUGGACGUUAGACUUAAUUUCUGCCGAGGCCCAUAUCUCCCCUGCAGUUCCCUAUGAAUCUUCCUCCCAAGUGAUUAAGGGCCUGCUUCUUACCUUCCCUCUCUCCCUCCCUCCUGCUCCAGGUAUCUAGGAACCGCUAUUUACUAAACAAGAGGGUUACUAAGAAUCUACAAAGAGCUCCAGAAUCACGGUGCAGUUUCCUGUAGUUGCUAUACCAUCCCCAUCACUCCCACAUCCUUUUAUAUCCUGAAGAUGCUACCUAGUCCAAUCAGGCUGUUUAAAACCUCCAAUUUGUCAGUUUGAAAUCUACACGUUAUUCAGUGCCAGUGGUUCAGCCGACAUUGUUAGUACCCAGGUGGUACUGUGAGAAGUCCUGCUGGGAACUGGCAAUAGCGAAGGUGUUCUUUUGAGAACUGAGCCGUAAUACUGAGACGAUGUUCUGAGGAGAGAGAGACGUAACAUCACCAUAGACAGCUGAUUCCCAGUCUGGGUGGGGGGAUGGGCAUUAGGUGGCAAGGAUGAACCGUCUGAAGCCAAAGAACAGGUAAUGCACAAAGGACAGCAGUGCAGGCCCAAUCAGAGGACUGGUCCACGGACGUGAGCUGGAGGGCCUGAGGUCUGAGGCAAGGGCGUUCCUAACAAGGAGGGGCGUGCUUCAGGCUCUUUCUGUCUCGUGAUUUUGAAUAUUUGAUUUCCCCAAGUCCCAUUUUCAGCUGCCAGGACUUCUAAGCAACCCCUCGGGCAUGAUUUGGCUUUAGAGGUAAAGUGAGUCUGUCUAAAGGGAAGGGAACGCCUAGCUGUGUGGAUUCCUGCGUUUUGGUUGUGGUGACAAUCUAUUUCUCAUCCAAAGUUAGUCUAUGAGCAUUACGGGUUUAUACCUCAGCUUUACGAACCUCGUUUUUGUAAAUCAGACUUGGAGAGAUGGAUCUGCUUCCCUCACAAUGGAAAAAUCCACAUGAAGGUGAGCUCUCCAGGGUAGUGGGUGUUCCCUG